Molecule: ribosomal RNA, 427 nt
Filed under: uncultured bacterium
Lineage: Bacteria
Description: partial 16S ribosomal RNA
Rfam family: Bacterial small subunit ribosomal RNA
Source: RNAcentral
GUGGGGAAUAUUGGGCAAUGGGGGAAACCCUGACCCAGCGACGCCGCGUGAGGGAAGACGGCCUUCGGGUUGUAAACCUCUUUUGUACGGGAAGAAGGAAGUGACGGUACUGUACGAAUAAGUCCCGGCUAACUACGUGCCAGCAGCCGCGGUAAUACGUAGGGGACGAGCGUUGUCCGGAAUUACUGGGCGUCAAGGGCGCGCAGGCUGUGCUGCAAGUCAGCUGUGAAAUGUCUGGGCUUAACCCGGGCAUGCGGUUGAGACUGCAGUGCUGGAGUGCUGUAGAGGCAAGUGGAAUUCCCAGUGUAGCGGUGAAAUGCGUAGAUAUUGGGAAGAACACCGGUGGCGAAGGCGACUUGCUGGGCAGCAACUGACGCUGAGGCGCGAAAGCCAGGGGAGCAAACGGGAUUAGAAACCCGGGUAGUCC